GGGGAAUAUUGGACAAUGGGGGAAACCCUGAUCCAGCCAUGCCGCGUGUGCGAUGAAGGCUUUCGGGUUGUAAAGCACUUUCAGUCGGGAGGAAAGGGUGCAGGCUAAUACCCUGUGCAGUUGACGUUACCGACAGAAGAAGCACCGGCAAACUCCGUGCCAGCAGCCGCGGUAAUACGGAGGGUGCGAGCGUUAAUCGGAAUUACUGGGCGUAAAGCGCGCGUAGGCGGUUACUUAAGCGAGAUGUGAAAUCCCCGGGCUUAACCUGGGCACUGCAUUUCGAACUGGGUGACUGGAGUUUUGGAGAGGAGAGUGGAAUUCCCGGUGUAGCGGUGAAAUGCGUAGAGAUCGGGAGGAACAUCAGUGGCGAAGGCGGCUCUCUGGCCAAAAACUGACGCUGAGGCGCGAAAGCGUGGGGAUCAAAC
Molecule: ribosomal RNA, 425 nt
Filed under: uncultured bacterium
Lineage: Bacteria
Description: bacterial SSU rRNA
Rfam family: Bacterial small subunit ribosomal RNA
Source: RNAcentral